AGUUUCCCUCCAAGUUGAGGUCUUAUUACAUAAAGCCUGCAGACUUUUGCAGGCCCGUAAUACAGUUUUCCUGUUAAAGCAGUAUUACAACUGGUAGCAAUGGCAAAAGCCUUAUUGCCUGAGAAGACAUUUACUGGUGAUGUAGGCGGGCUUACGAUCAUGAUCAAGAGAAAGAAUUUGACUCACGGAUGCUCCAGGAAGUCUGCUGGCAGCUCCAGAUGACCAAAGUGAAGACUAGAAUGGCCCAUCCUGCUAGUUGAAUAAGUAAACUGGACUAGGAAGUGGGAGGGGCUCCUCUGCCCAGACGCCAGAAGUUGCCAAACCACAGAGAGUCAAUCGUCUGCUACAUGAUUCUUGUCUUCACAGAUUAACCACAGCUUUGUCUACCCGAGGUUUCACACUAUGUCCGAAUGGGGCCUAAGAGUGUGUCAAGAAAGGAAAUGACUAGUGAGUUGUCAAAUAUAAGCUUAGCCUUCCUCAUUUAAUAAAGGAAAGUUAGAUAAAUCA
This is a long non-coding RNA of Hemicordylus capensis (graceful crag lizard), 507 nucleotides long. RefSeq lists it as uncharacterized. NCBI's taxonomy places the organism in Eukaryota, Metazoa, Chordata, Lepidosauria, Squamata, Cordylidae. The transcript is spliced from 2 exons. The record is from RefSeq and is a predicted model, not a curated record.